Small nucleolar RNA from Triplophysa dalaica, 215 nucleotides. RefSeq annotates it as small nucleolar RNA U3. The transcript has a single exon. The record is from RefSeq and is a predicted model, not a curated record. Lineage: Eukaryota; Metazoa; Chordata; Actinopteri; Cypriniformes; Nemacheilidae.
AAGACUAUACUUUCAGGGAUCAUUUCUAUAGUUUUUAACUAGGAAAUGUGUUUCUUAAAAGAAUUGUCUCCUAAACCACGAUGAAGAGUAUCGAUGUGUUUCUCUGAGCGUGAAACGAAUAGUAUUCGGUGAUAUUAAUCACAGAUUACUAUUAUUGAAGAACGUUCUCUAUGCCUGAAGGGGUGUAGUGAGGAGGAAUGCAUGAUCAGAGUGGC